Molecule: RNA transcript, 1159 nt
Organism: Daktulosphaira vitifoliae (grape phylloxera)
Lineage: Eukaryota; Metazoa; Arthropoda; Insecta; Hemiptera; Phylloxeridae
Exons: 2
Source: RefSeq, a predicted model, not a curated record
CAUAUUCAGGAUGGAAAAAUUUGAAUGACGUGUAUUUUAUAAGAUAUCACAGUAAUAUAUAUUAUCUUCAUAAUUUGAUUAAAAAACCUGCCAUUCACUAUAGACGGUAUCAAAUAGUACGAGCAUUAUCUAUACAUCUGGGAUGUACAUACGGAAAAGUUUUAAAAAGUCUAUCUAUAAUAAUUGACAACAUUAAAAAAAUUUGUGAAAAAAAAUUUAUAGAAAACGACAUAAUAAAUGGAUGCAUUUGCACCGAAAAACUCAUAUAUAUAAUAUCAAAGUUAUUUGUUCCAAUGGUAACAUUGAUGAAAGGUGCCAUGGACGCUUUAGAUUUAUUACAAGACAAACCAUUGGUUACUUGUGAUAGAAUUUACUACACAUUAGGUAUUUUAUUAGGGAAAAUAGAAGAUAUUCUUGACAAAUUUUUAGAACGAUCUUUAUCGCGUAAUGAUUUAUAUACAUAUUUUUCGACAUUAGAUAUAGUAGAUAUUUUACUGAAAACAAAAAUAAGUAAUGUAAUUAAUAAAGCUAAUAUCCAUUGUGAAUUUGUACCUUAUGAUACGAAUUAUUUAUGGAAUGAGUGGCAUCAAGAAUAUAAAAACAUUAUUAACCAAGGCAUAAAAUUAGUAUUCAUCAAAUUCGUAACCAGAAAAGUUGAAGAUUAUAUCAGAAGUGUAAUUAUAGAAAAGUAUUUUCAACUGGGAUUCAAAUUUGAUCCAAUCACUGAAGAAACAUUUGUAAUAAAUGAGAAAAUUCAACUAGGGACGUGGUGUUGCGCGGUGGUGACACUAGUUGUUGUCAAAACUCUAGUGUAAAACCGCGCCUACCGCCGUAGGUGAACGGAUGGGUGACCAUACGUGCGCUUUUACGGUGGCGAAAAAGCUCCAUGUUCCCAGUGCAGAAGGGUACGGGAAACCUCUGCACUUAAAUUUCACCAGGAUAUACCAAUCCAAUUGGUAUUAAACAACCUAACGGUAGUAAAAAAAUAAUUUUUUUUAUGAAUUUAGAUUUGAAAUUUAAAGCAACAGAUGGAGUGGUUCUAAUGCCAAUACAAAUAGAAAAUCAUUAAAUGUUGUAAUACAAUUAUUUUAUCCUACAUUUAUAUAUUAUAAUUAAUCAAAAUUUAUAUAAUAGUUCAGCAAAUGUUUAAAUAUAUAAA